UACGUAGGGACCGAGCGUUGUCCGGAUUCAUUGGGCGUAAAGAGCUCGUAGGCGGCUGUUCAAGUCGAACGUGAAAACUCGGAGCUCAACUCCGAGCCUGCGUUCGAUACUGGACGGCUAGAGUCUGGUAGGGGGAUCUGGAAUUCCUGGUGUAGCGGUGGAAUGCGCAGAUAUCAGGAGGAACACCCGUGGCGAAGGCGGCUCUCUGGGACGGUACUGACGCUGAGACGCGAAAGCGUGGGGAGCGAACAGG
This 253-nucleotide ribosomal RNA is filed under the name uncultured bacterium. RNAcentral describes it as "partial 16S ribosomal RNA". It matches the Rfam family "Bacterial small subunit ribosomal RNA", at positions 524 to 776 of the family's 1533-position model. The record is from RNAcentral.